CCCUACGGGGGGCAGCAGUGAGGAAUAUUGGUCAAUGGGAGAGAUCCUGAACCAGCUAAGCCGCGUGAGGGAAGACGGCCCUAUGGGUUGUAAACCUCUUUUGUCGGAGAACAAAACCCGGGACGUGUCCCGGACUGCGUGUAUCCGAAGAAAAAGCAUCGGCUAACUCCGUGCCAGCAGCCGCGGUAAUACGGAGGAUGCGAGCGUUAUCCGGAUUUAUUGGGUUUAAAGGGUGCGUAGGCGGUCUGUUAAGUCAGCGGUAAAAUUGCGGGGCUCAACCCCGUCGAGCCGUUGAAACUGGCAGA
RNAcentral lists this ribosomal RNA (305 nucleotides) under uncultured bacterium. RNAcentral describes it as "bacterial SSU rRNA". It matches the Rfam family "Bacterial small subunit ribosomal RNA", at positions 337 to 640 of the family's 1533-position model. The record is from RNAcentral.